GUCUUCGGCCAUAAAGAGAAAUAAAAUUAUGGCAUUUGCUGGUAAAUGCAUGGAGCUGGAGAAUAUCAUGAAAAGUGAAAUAAGCCAAUCCCAAAGAACUACAGGUCAAAUGUUUUUUUCUGAUACACAGAUGCUAAGUCACAGUUUUGGGUAGGGUAGGGAAGACUAGAAUUACUUUUGAUUAAACAAAAGAAAAUGAAGGGAAGGGACCAAGAAUGGGAAUAGGAAAGUUAAUAGAAUGAAUCAGACAUUAAUUUCCUACAUGCAUAUAGAAAUACAAAACCAAUGUAAUGUACCACCAGAAGAAUGGAAAAUUAUACUCCUUGGAUAUAUAAUAUGUCAAAAUGCGUUCUACUGUCAUGUAUAACUAAUAAGAACAAAUUUUUAAAAAAGGAUUGGGAUGCAGAUUAAUGUUAGAACACCCAUGAGUUCAAUCCCCAGCACCACACAAAAAGUAAAAACAUGUUUAACUUUAUAUAUACUUCAUAUCACCAUAUACCAUAUUCAUAAUCUCCAUAUUUGAACAAAUUUUUUAAAAGCCUUUUCAUUAGUAUAAAACACUAUAUAGCAAUUACAGAAAAUUUAUGAGACAGGUUAGCAAAACCAAAAUUAACUUUUUGGUAUCUAUCUGAAUUUCUUAGACAGCCUUGGGGUAGCAAUGAGGUCACACUAGAGGUAGGUGUGGUGGCGUGUGCCUAUAGUCCCAGUGACUCUGGAAACUGAGUCAGGAGAAUUGCCUGAGCCCAGGAAUGCAGGGCCAGCCUAGGCAACAUAGUAAGACCUGUCUCUUUAAAAAACAAAAAAAAAGAAAGAAAUGAGGUCACAGUAAUAUCAAUUCGCAAAUCUCACUGGCUGUGGGCCUCCAGCCUUCUGUUCAGCUCUCUCCUAUUCUUGCCCUCUCCAGCUAUUUAUGGACGUUCCCCACAUUGGAAUAGUAAUUGUUUUCACUGUGGCCACCCACUCACCUCUUGGUAGCAGCUGUCUGGAGCAUUGUCUUGAAAUGAGACUACCUGACAGGCCGUGUCCCUCGUCAUCCUGGAGCACCCAGAACCACUUCCGUCCUCCCAACUGGGAGGCACAAGCCAGUGAUGUGAAGAGACUGAAUUGGCCACAUGUCAUUAUCAGCUUACCAAUUAAUGGUUCCAUUGUUGUAUCUCCAUUUUACCAUUCCUGUUCUGGACAACCAAAACACAUGGUUUCAUGGUUGGAAGGCUAAAUUUUGACUAAGCAAUGGAGCUGCUUCCCACAUGGUGUGGUCACCUCAAGAGCCUUUUCCUCUGAGCCAUUACUUGACACUGACAUCCUUCAGUAGAUCCACCUAUAUCUAUAGAAUGAACCAGAAUAAUGUCUGUAGGAUGGGAAGACAGUUCAUUUGUCUAAAAGAAACCCAGCCUGUCUCUUAUCAAGUCUUAUGAGAUGUGGAAUUUCCCCAAUACAGGAAUCCUCAGGAAAGUGACAUAUCCACUACAAUUAUGAAUGACUCCUGUGAGUUCUGAACCUAGGAUAGGGAGAAUCAAAGCACUUACAGUCAAAGCACUUACUGAUUUGAAUGAAGUUGAGCAAUACAAGUGUACUUGACUCCCAGGCUCUUAAAAUGGAGGGCACUCAUUAAAUACAUCAUUCAAAUACAAACCCUCCUGCUCCUCCUUGUCACUGUGGCCAUAUCUUGACCUUUGUGAGACUGGAGCAAACUUGUUCUCAAGAAAAGACCUUGACCUUGCAGAGAAAGCAUGCUUCAAAGCUGACAGUCUGUGUUGUUCAGAUGUGGAAGAAUAUGAAUGUUCUCUUCACAGAAUCUUCAAACUUUCUGCAAAACACGGAACUCCCACAGUCGCUUGUCUUGGGGAAUAUUUGGAUAAAUAGUUUAACCCAAGGUGGGCGAUAGAUACCCCCUACACCAAAACAAUCAUGCUCUUGAUUCUUCAUUAAGGACAGAAAGGGAAGCAGUUCCACAUAGUUAAUUUCUUGCUUGUGCAAAUGUGAGGAGAUGGUACCAGAUUUGUCAGACUGUUCAUCCUUCAUUCACCACCCCCUACUAUAUUUUCCUGUUUAGUCAACAAAUCCUCUACCCUCUUUCUUGUUUACCUAGCAUAGUCAUUUGGAACUUUCGUGUCUAUUGUCCUUCAUAUACAUUUUCCCUGGCUGAAGAUGUUCCAAGGGUAAUUAUGCAAGCAGAGUUUUGAAUGGUUAAUAGAUAACAUUCAGGGUAUAAAACAUUUUAAAUUCCAAUUGUCUUAGUUUGGGAUAUAACAGAAUGUCAAAGACUGAGUGGAUUAAGUAACAAAUAUUUACUUCUCUCAGUUCUAGAAGCUGUAGUGUCCAAGAGAAAGAGCCCAACGAUCCAGUAUGUGGCAGGAAUUUUACCCAUACUUUCUGGUUUGUAGACAGCCAUUUUCUCAUGUAUCCUUAUAUGGGGGCAAUGGAGAGACAGACAGAGAGAAAGACAGAGAGAGAGAGAGAGAGAGAGAGAGAGAGAGAGAGAGAGAGAGAGAGAUCAUGUAUCUUCUUAUAAGGGCAUUAAUUCCAUUUAUUAGAGUUCCUCUCAUGAACUAAUCACCUUCGAAAAGCCAGCCUCCAAAUAUCCUCACAUUGAUGAUUAAGCGUCAACUUAGUGAAUUUUUGGAUGUACACAAAUAUUCUGUCAUAGCACCAAUUAACAGAAUGUAUCACUGCAGGGCACAGGUAUUUCAAGUCUGAGGAACAUCUUUGGGCCACUGCUGGAUCACUUUGUGCUAUACUUAUAGAUACAUACCUGUACAUGUCCAGGAUUACUUCAUGAUAACUUCUACUGAGUAAAGUUUCUGGGUCUAAAUGGGUAAAUAUUUGUGAGACUGGAGCAAAUUUGUUCUCAAGAAAAUAUGAGUUAAAAUAUAACUCCACUAAUUGUGUACAAAGAGCCUAUAUCUUUACACCUAUACUAAACUUAGGUAUGACAAAUAAAUGUAAUCUUUGCCAAUUUGUGAGAUGAAAUGUUGUUUUCUCUUUUUAAAAAAUGUAUACUUCGUUAUUUAGUAGUGGAACUGCAUAUUUUUGUUUCUUAUAAU
Non-coding RNA from Ictidomys tridecemlineatus (thirteen-lined ground squirrel), 3044 nucleotides. NCBI's taxonomy places the organism in Eukaryota, Metazoa, Chordata, Mammalia, Rodentia, Sciuridae. The record is from RefSeq and is a predicted model, not a curated record.